Molecule: long non-coding RNA, 2062 nt
Organism: Dreissena polymorpha
Lineage: Eukaryota; Metazoa; Mollusca; Bivalvia; Myida; Dreissenidae
Exons: 2
Source: RefSeq, a predicted model, not a curated record
UCUGCUGCACCAUCUCACCGCGCGAGGAGUGGAUGAGGACAUGGUGCUCUACUGCUUCAGUUUCUCCACUUGUACUGGAGAGAACACUCACGGUUCACGAAAAGGACGUCAUCGGCAUCUCUCAUCACCCACAUCAGAAUCUGGUGGCCACGUACAGCGAAGAUGGACUACUCAAGCUUUGGAAACCUUAGCCCCAAUAGACAAUAGCUCGGCGGUGUCCAAAAACGUGGGUUGGAUAACAGCUCAACGGUGUCCAAUUAAUAGAAAAUAUGGUUUUGCUGGCAUAAGACUUGUACAGUAUGGUGUUGCUGGCAUAAGACUUUAAAAAUAUGUUGUUGCUGACAAUAUACUUGAAAAGUAUAAUGUUGUUCGCGUAUGGCUUUAAAGAAAUGUGAAAGAUGGAACAGAAAAAAUUGCUUUUCUAUUCAUCUUAAUUUUUGUACAUUUGUGUUGAAUUUUAUGUACUUUUUAUGUCAUCUAAGCUAAUGUUGAGUUAUUGUUGUCACCGUAGGUCUGGCGUCGUGUGUUGGAAACUUUUAGCUUUUUAUUACACUGGACGCCUCAUUUUUCACCCAAACUUGAUAAAACUUGCUCCUAAUUUUUUACUUGAAAAUAUCUAGGCCGAUUUCAAAUCUGGAUCACAGAAACUAUGUCAGCUGGUCGAAUCUUAGAACAACAUUGUCACUACUUUAGAGGACUUAUUAUGACUCAAUAUUGACAAUAUUGAUGGAACCUGGUCAGAAGGAAAAUCUUUACAAUGUCUAGGCCGAGUUUGCCUAAAAACUAGGUUACAAGGUCUUAGAAAAAAAAAAAAAUUUGAUGAGGCAACAUUUAUGACACAAAUAUUAUGAAACUUUGUCAAAAUGUUUAUCUUGAUACUAUAUAAGUGAAGUCACUUGAUUCUGGGUCACUUGUGUCCAAAAACUAAGUCCAUUUGGUCAAAUCUUAGAAAAACUUGUCUACAGUUUUGAAUCCACAUUUAAAUCUCGAAUUUGAUGAAACUGAUCAAAAUGUUUAUCUUUACAAUGUCUUGGCAGAGUUCAAGUCUGUGUAGUCUGGUAAAUCAAAACUUACAAACUUGAUUAACCUUGAGAAUACCUAGGCCGAUUCUUCUGUGUUAUAUGUGUCUCAAAGCUAGGUCACGAUGUAAAGUUUCGAUUUUUUCAACGCAUUUUAUGUCAAGACUGGAAACAAAUACAUAUAGAAAUACAUAUGCAACAAAUCUAAAGUCAUACGUUAUCUAUAUGAUUUUAGACAGUGACGUACAAAGCAAUUAUCAUAGUACAGUCGGAAAAAUCCGUUCUAUAACUUUACCAUACAAGAAAGAAAUACUUCAAUAUAAUACACAGAAUUUAAAACUUAUGCUUAAUGUCUUAGUACAUGUUUUUUAAUGAAAUAUUCUACAAAACUUUUUAUUACAAGACUGGUAACAAACACAUAGAGAAAUACAUAUGCAAGUAUAAGUACAUAUGCAACUUAAGUUUCGUAAAUUAGUUUCAACACAAACUCAGUUUUGCCCUUCAGGGGCAAAUUGUUUAUAUAUCCAAGGCCCAUGACAUGCAAGGCAUUAAGCAUGCAUAUUCCAUCCGUAUGUAUGUAAUUUCAUGUGUUUGUGUCCGUAUGUCCGAAAAUUUAGUGAUAUGAACUCCUGUUCAAAUUGGAAGACUUUUUAAGAGUAAGUGAUCUUAAAGGAAGAGCAUAAAAGAAUUAUGUAUGCAACUUAUUUGUUCUAAAUUGUGACUCUGUUUUUCACUUAUUUGAACAUAAAUAUAGUUGACGAGCAAAACUAAUUAUUGGUGACUCGACAUAUGUGUGUUCCAAACAAGUUUGUUCUGGGUGUCAGUGUGUGUGACAUAAUUCUAGUUGUAAGUUUUAAAAACUGCUUCUUAGAUACAGCAGAAUUUAAUUUGUUAAUGGAGUAUUUGUAGCGUAUGAAGAAAAUGCCUUCCUACCCUAAAGCAUGACUAAAGCAUGACUGAUCCAGGCAUACUUUUGAUCAGUUGUGAUGUUUUCUAAUGUGUUUUGUGUUUUAAAACGUCAAUAAAACAUUUUGAACUUUAAA